RNAcentral lists this non-coding RNA (45 nucleotides) under Schistosoma margrebowiei. Lineage: Eukaryota; Metazoa; Platyhelminthes; Trematoda; Strigeidida; Schistosomatidae. The record is from RNAcentral.
AUCCAACUGACGAGUCCUAAAUAGGACGAAACGCGCAUCCUGGAU